GUGCCAGCAGCCGCGGUAAUACGUAGGUGGCAAGCGUUGUCCGGAAUUACUGGGCGUAAAGGGCGUGUAGGCGGCCUUUUAAGUCAGACGUGAAAACCCUGGGCUUAACCCAGGACCUGCGUUUGAUACUGAAGGGCUUGAGGACCGGAGAGGACAGUGGAAUUCCCAGUGUAGCGGUGAAAUGCGUAGAUAUUGGGAGGAACACCAGUGGCGAAGGCGACUGUCUGGACGGCACCUGACGCUGAGGCGCGAAAGCCAGGGGAGCAAACGGGAUUAGAUACCCGCGUAGUCC
RNAcentral lists this ribosomal RNA (292 nucleotides) under uncultured bacterium. Its description in RNAcentral is "partial 16S ribosomal RNA". It matches the Rfam family "Bacterial small subunit ribosomal RNA", at positions 505 to 796 of the family's 1533-position model. The record is from RNAcentral.